RNAcentral lists this ribosomal RNA (489 nucleotides) under uncultured bacterium. Its description in RNAcentral is "partial 16S ribosomal RNA". It matches the Rfam family "Bacterial small subunit ribosomal RNA", at positions 30 to 506 of the family's 1533-position model. The record is from RNAcentral.
AGUGAACGCUGGCGGCAGGCCUAACACAUGCAAGUCGAACGGCAGCACAAGAGAGCUUGCUCUCUGGGUGGCGAGUGGCGGACGGGUGAGGAAUGCAUCGGAAUCUGCCCAUUUGUGGGGGAUAACCUCGGGAAACCGGGACUAAUACCGCAUACGACCUACGGGUGAAAGCAGGGGAUCUUCGGACCUUGCGCAGAUGGAUGAGCCGAUGCCGGAUUAGCUAGUUGGAGGGGUAAAGGCCCACCAAGGGGACGAUCCGUAGCUGGUCUGAGAGGAUGAUCACCCACAAUGGGACGAGAACGGGGCCCAAGCUCCGAAGGGGGGCAGGGGUGGGGAUUGUUGAAAGUUGGGAGAAGGCCUAUACCAGCCAAGCCGGGUAUGUGAAGAAGCCCUUGGGAUUAAAAAGGUCUUUUUUUGGGAAAGAAAAGCAGCGGGUUAAAACCCGGUUUUUAUGACGUUGCCAAAAAAGUGGACCCCGACGGACUGCGC